GACGAACGCUGGCGGCGUGCUUAACACAUGCAAGUCGAACGGAAAGGCCCUGCUUUUGUUGGGUGCUCGAGUGGCGAACGGGUGAGUAACACGUGAGUUACCUGCCCUUCACUUUUGGAUAUCUUCAGGAAACUGUGGCUAUUACCGUAUAGGAGCUCCUCCUGCUUUGUGGUGUUUGGAUUUUUUCGGCGGUUGGGGAUGGACUCGCGGCUUAUCUGCUUGUUUGUGGGGUAGUGGCUUACCAAGGCUUUGACGGGUAGCCGGCCUGAGAGGGUGACCGGCAACAUGGGGACUGAGAUAGGGCCCAGAAGACAACGGGAGGCAGCAGUGGGGAAGAUUGCACAAUGGGGGGAAGCAGGAGGAAGAAAGGCAGCGUGCGGGAUGACGGCAUGCGGGUUGAAAACCGCUUUAGAAUGGGAAGAAGCGUGAGUGACGGUAAUGGGUAAAGAAGCACCGGCUAACUACGUG
This 468-nucleotide ribosomal RNA is filed under the name uncultured bacterium. Its description in RNAcentral is "partial 16S ribosomal RNA". It matches the Rfam family "Bacterial small subunit ribosomal RNA", at positions 28 to 507 of the family's 1533-position model. The record is from RNAcentral.